CUGCAUGAAGUUGGAAUUGCUAGUAAUCGCGGAUCAGCAUGCCGCGGUGAAUACGUUCCCGGGCCUUGUACACACCGCCCGUCACACCAUGAGAGUCGGGAACACCCGAAGUCCGUAGUCUAACCCGCAAGGGAGGGCGCGGCCGAAGGUGGGUUCGAUAAUUGGGGUGAAGUCGUAACAAGGUAUC
This 187-nucleotide ribosomal RNA is filed under the name uncultured bacterium. Its description in RNAcentral is "partial 16S ribosomal RNA". It matches the Rfam family "Bacterial small subunit ribosomal RNA", at positions 1316 to 1500 of the family's 1533-position model. The record is from RNAcentral.